AACGAACGCUGGCGGCAUGCCUAACACAUGCAAGUCGAACGAGACCUUCGGGACUAUUGGCGCCUGGGUUCGUAACGCGUGGGAACCUGCCCUCAUGUUCGGAAUAACUCCCCGAAAGGGGUGCUAAUACCGGAUAAUGUCUUCGGACCAAAGAUUUUUCGCCCUAGGAUGGUCCCGCGUUGGAUUAGCUAGUUGGUAGGGUAAAAGCCUACCAAGGCGACGAUCCAUAGCUGGUCUGAGAGGAUGAUCAGCCACACUGGGACUAAGACACGGCCCAGACUCCUACGGGAGGCAGGAGUGGGGGAUAUUGGACAGCGGGCGGAAGCCUGAUGCAGCAAUGACGCGUGAGUGAUGAAGGCCUUAGGGUUGUAAAGCUCUAGUAACCGGGAUGAUAAUGACAGUACCGGGAGAAUAAGCCCCGGCUAACUCCGUG
RNAcentral lists this ribosomal RNA (433 nucleotides) under uncultured bacterium. RNAcentral describes it as "partial 16S ribosomal RNA". It matches the Rfam family "Bacterial small subunit ribosomal RNA", at positions 29 to 507 of the family's 1533-position model. The record is from RNAcentral.